This 506-nucleotide ribosomal RNA is filed under the name Corynebacterium striatum. RNAcentral describes it as "bacterial SSU rRNA". It matches the Rfam family "Bacterial small subunit ribosomal RNA", at positions 8 to 524 of the family's 1533-position model. Lineage: Bacteria; Bacillati; Actinomycetota; Actinomycetes; Mycobacteriales; Corynebacteriaceae. The record is from RNAcentral.
AGAGUUUGAUCCUGGCUCAGGACGAACGCUGGCGGCGUGCUUAACACAUGCAAGUCGAACGGAAAGGCCUGCAGCUUGCUCGGNGUACUCGAGUGGCGAACGGGUGAGUAACACGUGGGUGAUCUGCCUUGCACUUCGGGAUAAGCUUAGGAAACUGGGUCUAAUACCGGAUAGGACAGCUGUUUAGUGUCAAUUGUGGAAAGUUUUUUCGGUGCAAGAUGGAGCUCACGGCCUAUCAGCUUGUUUGGUGGGGUAAUGGGCUACCAAGGCGUCGACGGGUAGCCGGCCUGAGAGGAUGUACGGCCACAUUGGGACUGAGAUACGGCCCAAACUCUACGGAAGGCAGCAGUGGGGAAUAUUGCACAAUGGGCGGAAGCCUGAUGCAGCGACGCCGCGUGGGGGAUGAAGGCCUUCAGGUUGUAAACUCCUUUCGACAGGGACGAAGCGUAAGUGACGGUACCUGUAUUAGAAGCACCGGCUAACUACGUGCCAGCAGCCGCGGUAAU